AUUUACAGGAAAUGAUUAAUUAAAGGAAUUCUUUUCAUUGCCAUUAAUUGUUUUGCAGACAACCCGACGAGAUAAUCAUCACAUGCUGGCAAUCACUUGCCAUCAAUUAUCCCCACGCUGCUGCUGUCAGUGGAUCACAGCCCCUACCUGGUGGGAGUCACUGCUGGUGCCACCGAGGCAUUUGCCAGUAAUGUAGGACUGGGGAGGAUGGGAAACAGCUUCCAGACAGGCUCUGAGAUUGAUAUGCAAGCCAAAGGGAAAUGCAUUAAACUAUUUAACUGCCUGGAAAUCCAGCCUAAUGAACAUCCAAAGCAUCACCUUCCAGAGGCUGAUUCCUGCUGUGUUUGAAGCACAAAUGGUGAUAUUUGGGAUCAUCUUCCAGCCUCUCCCGAUAGCAGGGAGCUAUUUCCAGGCAGCAGCAGGAUCCCACCCAUUCCUGGGAGCUUUUCAGGACACCCCAGUGAUAAAACUUUGUUUUUUGGGACUUAUGACCACAUAACCCCCCCACAGCAACACCUGAUCUGGAGACUCUGGGGAAAACAAAAAGAGGUGUAAAACAAAGCCACCUUCUUUCCCGGCCUGCAUCCGUGGGAUGAGGCAAAAGAAGGAUCUAUUCCAUCCCUCUGGAUGAACAGAGCUCUGCUCCUCCUGCCAGCACAUAUCGGCUGUUAAAUGCUUACCCAGCAGCGGGAGGAGGGUUAUUAGGAGCAGUGAAUUCCUUUGAUAAGUUCUCAGGUCAUAAAGAUGUUUGACUCCUCAUUUGCACGUUCCUCUUGGAAUCGAUCAAAGCGGAAAAGCUGGAGGGUAAAAAUCGAUAAGGGAGAGCGGGUGUGUGGGAAGAUGUAUGGAUAGAGCUGGGCAGGGGCAGGGCAAUCAGUUAUUGCGCUAAUUGAUGGCGGGAUGAUAACUCAGAAUUGAUCAGGGGCUGCCUGAGCUGAUACAACUCAGUGGCUCCAGAAUCCUGCUCUGGAGAUCUCACAGAGGGAUGCUCAGAUCAGCUGUUCCCAACCCGCUCAGCUGCAGGGGUAAAGUAAAAUGAGCCUGGUUCUGGGUUAGAUCCCUCAAAAAGGAGGACUCUGCUAAUCAGUGCUCGCAUAUUCCAGCAGAUUUCCACUGCCCACUCCAUGCUGGCUUGGAUCCUGGGGCUGUUGCUGUAUCCAGGUAUCCCCCACUUUCUCCACUGAGGGUUUAGAGCAACCUCUGCCUCCCACCAGAGCACCACAGGACAUCAAGGAUAGAAAAUUCUCCCUCCUGACACCUUUGUGGGCUGGAAUUGGCUCUGUCCAAAGGAGAGAGGAGACUGAGGCACGGGCACAGUGAAGUACCCGAGUCUCAUCCAGAGGAUGGAGAAGAGCUGGUUGCUUCUGAACCUUGCAAGAGGAGGUCAGAGAUCAGGAGACCAGCUGUGCACCAAAGCUGUUCCCAUUUUCUGCAGAGUGUUCACAACUGCUGUGGGAUGAGGCAGGAAUCCUCCUGCCCCAGGCUGCUCUGGAAGGCAC
Molecule: long non-coding RNA, 1499 nt
Filed under: Parus major (Great Tit)
Lineage: Eukaryota; Metazoa; Chordata; Aves; Passeriformes; Paridae
Description: lncRNA (ENSPMJG00000009984.1)
Source: RNAcentral